Molecule: ribosomal RNA, 373 nt
Filed under: uncultured organism
Description: partial 16S ribosomal RNA
Rfam family: Bacterial small subunit ribosomal RNA
Source: RNAcentral
GUAGGUGGCAAGCGUUGUCCGGAAUUAUUGGGCGUAAAGCGCGCGCAGGGCGGUCCUUUAAGUCUGAUGUGAAAGCCCACGGCUCAACCGUGGAGGGUCAUUGGAAACUGGGGGACUUGAGUACAGAAGAGGAAAGCGGAAUUCCAAGUGUAGCGGUGAAAUGCGUAGAGAUUUGGAGGAACACCAGUGGCGAAGGCGGCUUUCCGGUCUGUAACUGACGCUGAGGCGCGAAAGCGUGGGGAGCAAACAGGAUUAGAUACCCUGGUAGUCCACGCCGUAAACGAUGAGUGCUAAGUGUUAGGGGGUUUCCGCCCCUUAGUGCUGCAGCUAACGCAUUAAGCACUCCGCCUGGGGAGUACGGCCGCAAAGGCUG